This is a long non-coding RNA of Lathyrus oleraceus (garden pea), 2421 nucleotides long. RefSeq lists it as uncharacterized. The transcript has 3 exons. NCBI's taxonomy places the organism in Eukaryota, Viridiplantae, Streptophyta, Magnoliopsida, Fabales, Fabaceae. The record is from RefSeq and is a predicted model, not a curated record.
CAUUAAACCAACAAUAUCAUCUUUUUCAUCUCUCAAAAUGAUUUUUAUCCAUCAAUGCUCUAAUUUUCUUCUUCAACCUAAAUCUAUAUCAGUUUUUCAUUUUUUUCUUCUCUUUUUCACCUUCUUUUAAACAUAUUUUCCCCUUUUUUCCAGGUUAUAGAAAGAUUAAAGAUGCGGAGAAGUAAACGCGUAUAAAAAUAACAUCAACAAUAUAUGUGAAAAAUCGAGACCUACGUUUGACCUGAUUUUUUAUUCUUAAUGUUUUAGGUGUUGUUUUAUGCUCAUGAGGUUUUGGGUUUCUUCAACACAAAAUCUAGAAAAUAUUGUGGAUGACAUUUUGGAUGUGGAGUUAAUAACAAAUAUGAAGUUUAUCAUCAAACUCAGAAGUGUUUAUUUUGUGAGUGCAACCUCCUGCUAGAUGUAUUUUGUAUGAUGUCAAAACUAGCAUACUUUAGAGUUUAUGUAUAUUGGAUGGUAUCUCUCUAAGUCUUAAUGUGCAUGUUAGUAUUAUGAAGCAUAAAAACAUUUUGAAAUUAUUUAGAAAAAGUUUCAUGUAUUAAAAAUAGGUUUUUAUGGGAAAAAUAGUCUAUGUGUCGACACAUACGUCAUAUAGGUCAACACAUAGAAGAAAAUUUUUCCUAUGUGUCGAUACAUUUAAGUCAUUUUUAAAGCAUGUAGCUUUUGUUUGAUGUGCCGACUGUAUGUGAUGACACAUGACCUAUAUAAGGCGACACAUGACCUAUACAGGUCGACACAUGCAUUGAAUGUGUCGACACAUGACUUAUAUAGGUCGACACAUGCAACAUAUUUUUUCAAAAAUUCAUGAUUUUUUCAUAUCUUUUGCAUUCUUUUUGCCUUCAACUUGCAUACAUAUAAAUAAUUCAUACAUGCAUCAUUUCUUUUAAGUGAUUUUGAGAAAAUCACAAACGAACUCAGGAUUUCAAAGAGUGCUCAUCAUCUUCAACCUACAUUCUAUUGCAUACACACAAACAAACUACACAUAAUCAUUCUUUGUUUGGGUGUCAUUUAGAAUCAGUGUUGAUAACGUCAAUUUAGGUUGUUGAAUUGUAAAUUGGAUUGAGAUCUUUGAGGGUUUCAAAUAAGAAAACCAAGUUGGGGUUUUCCUUCAAGAUCAAAUAAGGAUUUAAAGGUUUUGGAUAAGAUUACGUAAUUUGGAUCUGAUCGAGUGAAAGCUUUGAAGAACAGGAGUUUCUUGUAAAGGAGUAGCGUGACACGGUGCAUCAUAUUGGUAAAUCUUAUGUUAUAACAAUUCAUAAUUUUGAUUCGAUCGAGUGAAAACUUUGAAGAAUGUAUUAUUCUUGCAAAGGAGUAGGGUGAGACAGUGGAUCAAAUUGGUAUUGUUGGGUGACUUGAUCAAGCUCAGAUCGAGGAAAGAGAAAGUGUUAUAAUCAACAUCAAACAUAGGGUUUGUAGGAUUGGAUUGUUACAUUUCUCUUGUAAACUAAUUUUGUAAAGCAAGGUUAAAUUUCAUUAUCUCAAUUCGAGUUUGAAUUGAGGGCAUACAUACUCAUAAUGAGACCGAUUGGAGAACUACCUAAAUUGGUGAGAUCAAUGGUGAAUCUGUGUGAAAUUAACACGUCCAUGUAUUAACAUUGAUGUGUGAUUUAUUUCUAGUCAAUUUGGGUGUUCUUGGUGUGAAAUUGGUGCUUCAAAAGAGCUCCAAUGGCAGAAAAUGCGUUUAUGUGUUCUGCACAGGGGUGUCGAUCGUGACAUGCGUGACGAGUAACCCGUCUAGUGAGGCCCUUUAGGAGGAGGAGUCAAAUCUGGUGUAUUAUACUCGAUAUGCUUCUAUUGUUCUUGUCAUUGGCGAUGCCUUCCUAUUUGAACAACGAUGCAAGGAGAAACGGUAGCGGGAUGCGUACCUGCAGGAAAUAUAGAAGGCCUAUAUUUUCUUUACAAGGAUAAUUGAUGCCUUGCGUGCCAUCAAUCUCCCUGGUGAGAGGUGUAUCAAGGAAGGAUAAAGCUAUGACUUAUGUGAGAGCCAUUUUAUCUGCUACUCAGGCGUACCUUUCUUCAGUUCAAGGAGAUAUUGAAAACUUUUGCCUUCAGAAUGUCUCCCUGACUCAAAGUUUAAAUGAAUCAUUUAUUGCUAGUAUCAUGGUCGUCUCAGAGUCCUUUGAGAAUGACUUGUAGAAAGUAGAGCACUUUCACUCCCCUUUGAGUAUUUCUAGGAACAAGUAAGGUCGAACCAGAUGCUUAAAGAUAGGAAGAUCAUCUCCCUUAAGGAUUAACGAUCCUUUUUCCUUUUUGUGUAUCACCCUACACUGUAGAGCGUGAGUGAAAUGAAAUAGAUAUCGUGUCAUUAUUUUUACCUGUUUAGGGCAUAUGUAUUUGAUCCCGAGUAAAUUGCUCUGGAAUUUGAGUGAACUUACGAGGUUUCCCCUUAAAGUUUAUUGGAUA